CCUACGGGUGGCUGCAGUAGGGAAUAUUGCUCAAUGGGGGAAACCCUGAAGCAGCAACGCCGCGUGGAGGAUGAAGGUUUUCGGAGUGUAAACUCCUUUUGUUAGAGAAGAGAAUGACGGUAGCUAAGGAAUAAGCACCGGCUAACUCCGUGCCAGCAGCGGCGGUAAUACGGAGGAUGCGAGCGUUAUCCGGAGUUAUUGGGUGUCAGGGGUGCGCAGGCGGAGGUUCAAGUCAGCGGUCCAAUUGGGGGGCUCCACCCCGUACUGCCGUUGAAACUGCAUCCCUUGAGUGCGCGAGACGUCUGCGGACUUCGUGUUGUAGCGGUGAAAUGCUUAGAUAUCACGCAGAACUCCGAUUGCGAAGGCAGCUUACCGGCGCGCAACUGACGCUCAUGCACGACAGCGUGGGUAUCGAACAGGAUUAGAUACCCUAGUAGUC
This 439-nucleotide ribosomal RNA is filed under the name uncultured bacterium. Its description in RNAcentral is "partial 16S ribosomal RNA". It matches the Rfam family "Bacterial small subunit ribosomal RNA", at positions 338 to 795 of the family's 1533-position model. The record is from RNAcentral.